RNAcentral lists this long non-coding RNA (542 nucleotides) under Citrus sinensis (sweet orange). RNAcentral's name for it is "long non-coding RNA (CSIN_LNC002126)". The record is from RNAcentral. Lineage: Eukaryota; Viridiplantae; Streptophyta; Magnoliopsida; Sapindales; Rutaceae.
AUGCUUUAUUCAAAGUCGAUACACAAAAUCAAUAACCAAACAUUUUAAUAAAAUACCAAUGCGUAAAUAAAAAUCCAUUUCGAGGAAAUCAUUAAAUCAGAACAUUUAAAAUAAUUAUUUCACAAACAUGCAUUACUAUCAUAAUUAACUAUGAAAAUAGGUUUUGUAUAUUCCACUCACAGUGACGGUGUUCACGGUCGGUUAUCAUCCAUGUCCGCAGACCGGUUCUCGCUCGCGGAUCCUCCUAAAUUAGGGAAACGACAUAAUUAUUUUCCGUAAAUCGGAAUUACGACUAAAGUUAUGCAAUAAACUCGAAACGAACAUCUAUCCAUAAUUGACAACUCCCGUGUCCAUAAAAUUACUAAAAUGUCCUUGAGUCCAUAAAUCAUUAACACAUACUCUGAAAUCGUACAACACUGAAUUACCCUCGGAAUCGUAAUUACACCCACUCCUCAAUUCUCAGAAUUACUAAAAUAUCCACAGGCUCAUAAAUUAUAAAAUUGCCCUCAUAAUGUGAAAUUACCAAAAUGCCCUUGCCGGUC